AUGUGGUUGAUAAAUGACAGCUCGCUCUCUGACCCACCCAUCCAUAUCGUCAUGACCCUCAGGUUCAUGGUCACCCUCAGCAUCGGGUCUCCGACCCGUGACUCCACGAGGAGGUACAGCCUGGGCCAUCCCAAGAGGCUCUGCUGCGAGGUGCCCGCUGUCCAUCAGGGUACUGGGCAGGGCCCAGACCCCAGACCCAGGCCAAAAGAGGAGGCCCGUGGAGGUCACACCUGCCAUGGCCAGCCUGCCCUCUGGGUCCUAAACCACAGUGAUGCCAGGGUUCCCUGCCCUCUGUGCCCCGCAGCUUUUGUCUGCUCUUCGUCUCCCAGCUGUUCCAUUCAGCAGCCCCAGGACGACCUGCCCUCCCCAGCCCAGGCCCCCAAGGCCCCAUUAAGGCCAGCGGUCAAAGGCCAGCCCGCACGUGCUGCAUCUUAUCGGCUCAUCUCAAGACCCCCGUUCCUCCAGGCUUGGCAACAAAAAAAAAGGGGCGGCCCCGGGCCUACUGGCUCCCUGAGGCCCCCUGCACACAAAAGGGCGGGCGACAAAGACAUUUUCUGGGAUGGCAGGUGUUGGUGUCGGAUUCCACCCGGAGCAUGGGAGGCCGGAGAAAGGCUGGGGUGGGUUUCCUGGGCAGGCGGGCAGUGCAGACACGCAGGACAGAGCCCCUCAGGGCUGAGGGGGAGGCGGCAGGAACCCCUAGCCCCGGAGGGAGGUGAGUCAGUGAGUGAACUCUUCCCCACUCCCCCAAGAGCAGGGUGCUGGGCAACUCCACUGACGUGUCAGUUCAAACACUUGUUCUUUGAACUUACCUUGUUCAAACACUGCAGCGAGAUCUUCACGUAUUUUAAUCUGAAGGGAAAGAACAUAAAAUGGAGUGAAUACAGGCCCCGCACACGCACAGCCCAACUCGAUAAUGAACACGGUGCUAAAAAUACAUCUGUUCCUGGGCUGUCUGAGUGUUCCUGCAGCUUCCGAGAUCAUUACCAACUGAAAAUUCACCUGAAAUUCCACUUGGCAGGACAAAAUUCUGGCUGCCAUCACCGGUACAGGUGUGAAACGAAGGCGACGUUAGCUUUCCCAGGAUGUGUGACAGUUUCUGUGGGAGCCCUGUAG
RNAcentral lists this long non-coding RNA (1113 nucleotides) under Capra hircus (goat). Its description in RNAcentral is "lncRNA (ENSCHIG00010008418.1)". Lineage: Eukaryota; Metazoa; Chordata; Mammalia; Artiodactyla; Bovidae. The record is from RNAcentral.